ACACAUGCAAGUCGAGGGGUAACAGGGUUUAGUUUACUAGAUUGCUGACGACCGGCGCACGGGUGAGUAACGCGUAUACAAUUUGCCUUUUACUGGAGGAUAGCCAAGAGAAAUUUUGAUUAAUACUCCAUAGUAUUAUUAGAUCACCUGAUUUGAUAAUUAAAGUUCCGGCGGUAAAAGAUGAGUAUGCGUCCUAUUAGCUAGAUGGUAAGGUAACGGCUUACCAUGGCGACGAUAGGUAGGGGUCCUGAGAGGGAGGUCCCCCACACUGGUACUGAGACACGGACCAGACUCCUACGGGAGGCAGCAGUGAGGAAUAUUGGGCAAUGGAGGCAACUCUGACCCAGCCAUGCCGCGUGCAGGAAGACGGCCCUAUGGGUUGUAAACUGCUUUUAUACAGGAAGAAACUUACCCACGUGUGGGUAACUGACGGUACUGUAAGAAUAAGGACCGGCUAACUCCGUGCCAGCAGCCGCGGUAAUACGGAGGGUCCAAGCGUUAUCCGGAAUCAUUGGGUUUAAGGGGUCCGUAGGCGGGCAAUUAAGUCAGAGGUGAAAUCCCACAGCUCAACUGUGGAACUGCCUUUGAUACUGGUUGUCUUGAGUUAUAGUGAAGUAGAUAGAAUAUGUAGUGUAGCGGUGAAAUGCAUAGAUAUUACAUAGAAUACCGAUUGCGAAGGCAGUCUACUAACUGUACACUGACGCUAAUGGACGAAAGCGUGGGGAGCGAACAGGAUUAGAUACCCUGGUAGUCCACGCCGUAAACGAUGGUCACUAGUUGUUGGGGUCUUGUACCUCAGUGAUUAAGAGAAAUUGAUAAGUGACCCACCCGGGGAGUACGAUCGCAAGAUUGAAACUCAAAGGAAUUGACGGGGGCCCGCACAAGCGGUGGAGCAUGUGGUUUAAUUCGAUGAUACGCGAGGAACCUUACCAGGGCUUAAAUGUAAGUUGCAUGAUUUAGAGAUAGAUCUUUCUUCGGACUACUUACAAGGUGCUGCAUGGUUGUCGUCAGCUCGUGCCGGGAGGUGUCAGGGUUAAGUCCUAUAACGAGCGCAACCCCUACCGUUUAGUUUGCCAGCAUGUUAUGAUGGGG
RNAcentral lists this ribosomal RNA (1092 nucleotides) under uncultured Bacteroidota bacterium. Its description in RNAcentral is "bacterial SSU rRNA". It matches the Rfam family "Bacterial small subunit ribosomal RNA", at positions 51 to 1136 of the family's 1533-position model. The record is from RNAcentral. Lineage: Bacteria; Pseudomonadati; Bacteroidota.